Molecule: transfer RNA, 76 nt
Filed under: bacterium
Lineage: Bacteria
Description: tRNA-Met
Rfam family: tRNA
About the family: Transfer RNA (tRNA) molecules are approximately 80 nucleotides in length. Their secondary structure includes four short double-helical elements and three loops (D, anti-codon, and T loops). Further hydrogen bonds mediate the characteristic L-shaped molecular structure. tRNAs have two regions of fundamental functional importance: the anti-codon, which is responsible for specific mRNA codon recognition, and the 3' end, to which the tRNAs corresponding amino acid is attached (by aminoacyl-tRNA synthetases). tRNAs cope with the degeneracy of the genetic code in two manners: having more than one tRNA (with a specific anti-codon) for a particular amino acid; and 'wobble' base-pairing, i.e. permitting non-standard base-pairing at the 3rd anti-codon position.
Source: RNAcentral
GGCGGGUUAGCUCAGCUGGUAGAGCAGCGGAAUCAUAAUCCGCGUGUCGGCGGUUCAAGCCCGUCACCCGCUACCA